GAUGAACGCUAGCGGCAAGGCUUAAUACAUGCAAGUCGAGGGGCAGCAGGUCCGUAGCAAUACGGAUGCUGGCGACCGGCAAACGGGUGCGGAACACGUACAGAACCUUCCUUUAAGCGGGGAAUAGCCCGGGGAAACCCGGAUUAAUACCCCAUAGUAUGGUGGAGAGGCAUCUCUCUAUUAUUAAAGAUUUAUCACUUGAAGAUGGCUGUGCGGCUGAUUAGGUAGUUGGCGGGGUAACGGCCCACCAAGCCUGCGAUCAGUAACUGGUGUGAGAGCACGACCAGUCACACGGGCACUGAGACACGGGCCCGACUCCUACGGGAGGCAGCAGUGAGGAAUAUUGGUCAAUGGUCGGAAGACUGAACCAGCCAAGUAGCGUGAAGGAUGAAGGUUCUAUGGAUUGUAAACUUCUUUUAUACGGGAAUAAAACCACCUACGUGUAGGUGCUUGUAUGUACCGUAUGAAUAAGCAUCGGCUAACUCCGUG
RNAcentral lists this ribosomal RNA (489 nucleotides) under uncultured bacterium. Its description in RNAcentral is "bacterial SSU rRNA". It matches the Rfam family "Bacterial small subunit ribosomal RNA", at positions 28 to 507 of the family's 1533-position model. The record is from RNAcentral.